Molecule: ribosomal RNA, 327 nt
Filed under: uncultured delta proteobacterium
Lineage: Bacteria; Deltaproteobacteria
Description: bacterial SSU rRNA
Rfam family: Bacterial small subunit ribosomal RNA
Source: RNAcentral
GAGUUUGAUCCUGGCUCAGAACGAACGCUGGCGGCGGGCCUCAUACAUGCAAGUCGAGCGCGAAAGUCCGCAAGGAUGAGUAAAGCGGCGCACGGGUGAGUAACACGUGGAUAAUCUACCCUUUGGAUUGGAAUAACCUGUCGAAAGACGGGCUAAUGCCGAGUAAGCUCCCGAGAACGUAAAGUUCUUGUGAGGGAAAGAUGGCGCAAGCUAUCGCCGAUGGAUGAGUCUGCGUCCCAUUAGUUAGUUGGUGAGGUAAUGGCUUACCAAGACAAUGAUGGGUACCUGGUCUGAGAGGAUGAUCAGGCACACUGGAACUGAAACAGG